Molecule: ribosomal RNA, 515 nt
Filed under: uncultured bacterium
Lineage: Bacteria
Description: bacterial SSU rRNA
Rfam family: Bacterial small subunit ribosomal RNA
Source: RNAcentral
AUGGACCCGCGGCGCAUUAACUAGUUGGUGAGGUAACGGCUCACCAAGGGGACGAUGCGUAGCCGACCUGAAAGGGUGAUCGGCCACACUGGGACUGAAACACGGCCCAAACUCCUACGGGAGGGAGCAGUAGGGAAUCUUCCGCAAUGGACGAAAGUCUGACGGAACAACCCCCCGUGAGUGAUGAAGGUUUUCGGAUCGUAAAACUCUGUUGUUAGGGAAGAACAAGUACCGUUCGAAUAGGGGGGGACCUUGACGGUACCUAACCAGAAAGCCACGGCUAACUACCUGCCAACAGCCGCGGUAAUACCUAAGUGGCAAGCGUUGUCCGGAAUUAUUGGGCGUAAAGCGCGCGCAGGCGGUUUCUUAAGUCUGAUGUGAAAGCCCCCGGCUCAACCGGGGAGGGUCAUUGGAAACUGGGGAACUUGAGUGCAGAAAAAGAGAGUGGAAUUCCACGUGUAGCGGUGAAAUGCGUAGAGAUGUGGAGGAACACCAGUGGCGAAAGCGACUCUCUG